UAUACUUGGAGCAGACGACUGAUAUGGAUCGAAAUUGAAAUAGCGCAGUCCGGAUGGAUCGAAUGCAGUCUCGUUCCUUUCAGUCUUUGAAAAGGAAUCAUCAACCAUUUCAACAGAUGAACUUGGUGAAAAACGUGAAGCCACUGAGGAACUUAUUUGCGGUAUGCCAUCCCAGCUAUCAGCACUUCUAUCUGAACUCAUAAAUGGAAAAUUAGCCUGUAAAGUCCCAGUAGAGGGAUGUCCAGAGAAGAUUGUCCCAUGACUGUCAG
This 269-nucleotide unclassified non-coding RNA is filed under the name Hevea brasiliensis (rubber tree). The record is from RNAcentral. Lineage: Eukaryota; Viridiplantae; Streptophyta; Magnoliopsida; Malpighiales; Euphorbiaceae.